Non-coding RNA from Rattus norvegicus (Norway rat), 69 nucleotides. NCBI's taxonomy places the organism in Eukaryota, Metazoa, Chordata, Mammalia, Rodentia, Muridae. The record is from Rfam.
GGGGAUUUAGCUCAGUGGUAGAGCGCUUGCCUAGGAAGCGCAAGGCCCUGGGUUCGGACCCCAGCUCCG